GGCCCGCCUGGACUGCGCCUGUGUCCUCAGGAGCCGGGAAGCUUUGGACAGUGACCUGUGCACUCCGGACGCCGAUACAGAGAGAGAGAUUGUGUUUUGCGAUUACUCCACAGGACUCCUCCCUGGGCAUCACAUGGAAAUUACACAUUCCCUCCGGACUGCAAUCCUCUGGGAAAGAGUCAGAACACUGCUACCUCCUCCACCCACUGAGUAGGCACUCUCUGACCAAUGGAAAGAAGGAAAGAAAAAAACCCAGCAAGAACAAACGACAGAUCAAGUGGGACACUGAGUAGAGAGGAACUAUUUCAGGCACCUCACCCCACAAAUGGGAACUGUGGAGAAUGGUGAUAAAUCACCACAGAGGUGAUCGAGUGGCUCCGGGCGCCGUCAG
This is a long non-coding RNA of Talpa occidentalis (Iberian mole), 391 nucleotides long. RefSeq lists it as uncharacterized. The record is from RefSeq and is a predicted model, not a curated record. The transcript has 3 exons. NCBI's taxonomy places the organism in Eukaryota, Metazoa, Chordata, Mammalia, Eulipotyphla, Talpidae.